This 301-nucleotide ribosomal RNA is filed under the name uncultured bacterium. RNAcentral describes it as "partial 16S ribosomal RNA". It matches the Rfam family "Bacterial small subunit ribosomal RNA", at positions 509 to 807 of the family's 1533-position model. The record is from RNAcentral.
CAGUAGCCGCGGUAAUUCGAAGGGGGCUAGCGUUGCUCGGAAUCACUGGGCGUAAAGGGUGCGUAGGCGGGUCUUUAAGUCAGGGGUGAAAUCCUGGAGCUCAACUCCAGAACUGCCUUUGAUACUGAAGAUCGUGAGUUCGGGAGAGGUGAGUGGAACUGCGAGUGUAGAGGUGAAAUUCGUAGAUAUUCGCAAGGACACCAGUGGCGAAGGCGGCUCACUGGCCCGAUACUGACGCUGAGGCACGAAAGCGUGGGGAGCAAACAGGAUUAGAUACCCGCGUAGUCCCUGUCUCUUAUAC